GUGCCUACGGGACGCAGCAGUGGGGAAUAUUGCACAGUGGGGGGAACCCUGAUGCAGCGACGCCGCGUGGGCGAGGAAGUAUUUCGGUAUGUAAAGCCCUAUCGGCAGGGAAGAAGAAAUGACGGUACCUGAAUAAGAAGCACCGGCUAAAUACGUGCCAGCAGCCGCGGUAAUACGUAGGUGGCGAGCGUUAUCCGGAAUGAUUGGGCGUAAAGGGGGCGCAGGCGGUCCUGCAAGUCUGGAGUGAAACGCAUGAGCGCAACUCA
Molecule: ribosomal RNA, 266 nt
Filed under: uncultured bacterium
Lineage: Bacteria
Description: partial 16S ribosomal RNA
Rfam family: Bacterial small subunit ribosomal RNA
Source: RNAcentral